Molecule: long non-coding RNA, 301 nt
Filed under: Gallus gallus (chicken)
Lineage: Eukaryota; Metazoa; Chordata; Aves; Galliformes; Phasianidae
Description: long non-coding RNA NONGGAT009414
Source: RNAcentral
CUGCGGUUUAUCUUCAACGUUUCUCCUGCCUGGAUAGCAACGGGAACCCAUCUCCAUCAUCCUGGGUGCCUUCACCAACGCAUCGUCUGCCUGGACACCAUCUCCAGCCCUUCUCCUGCUCGGCUAGGUUCUGUGGCCCUGAACUGCCAGAUGGGGUGGUUUUAACUGUGGAGAGGGGCGAGCACCGCUGUAUGGCUGGGCACCCAGAAACGUGGCCUUGCACACGUCGGGCACAGACACACUGCUCCUGGGAGGUCUCAUUCCCUUGUGAGAGGUGAGCACCAGGCGCUCCUACCUGAGC